UGCUGACAUAAGUAACGAUAAAGCGGGUGAAAAGCCCGCUCGCCGGAAGACCAAGGGUUCCUGUCCAACGUUAAUCGGGGCAGGGUGAGUCGACCCCUAAGGCGAGGCCGAAAGGCGUAGUCGAUGGGAAACGGGUUAAUAUUCCCGUACUUGGUGUUACUGCGAAGGGGGGACGGAGAAGGCUAUGUUGGCCGGGCGACGGUUGUCCCGGUUUAAGCGUGUAGGUGUGUGUUCCAGGUAAAUCCGGUUCACUUUAACACUGAGGCGUGACGACGAGGCACUACGGUGCUGAAGCAACAAAUGCCCUGCUUCCAGGAAAAGCCUCUAAGCAUCAGGUAACAUCAAAUCGUACCCCAAACCGACACAGGUGGUCAGGUAGAGAAUACCAAGGCGCUUGAGAGAACUCGGGUGAAGGAACUAGGCAAAAUGGUGCCGUAACUUCGGGAGAAGGCACGCUGACACGUAGGUGAAGUGAUUUACUCAUGGAGCUGAAGUCAGUCGAAGAUACCAGCUGGCUGCAACUGUUUAUUAAAAACACAGCACUGUGCAAACACGAAAGUGGACGUAUACGGUGUGACGCCUGCCCGGUGCCGGAAGGUUAAUUGAUGGGGUCAGCGCAAGCGAAGCUCCUGAUCGAAGCCCCGGUAAACGGCGGCCGUAACUAUAACGGUCCUAAGGUAGCGAAAUUCCUUGUCGGGUAAGUUCCGACCUGCACGAAUGGCGUAAUGAUGGCCAGGCUGUCUCCACCCGAGACUCAGUGAAAUUGAACUCGCUGUGAAGAUGCAGUGUACCCGCGGCAAGACGGAAAGACCCCGUGAACCUUUACUAUAGCUUGACACUGAACAUUGAGCCUUGAUGUGUAGGAUAGGUGGGAGGCUUUGAAGCGUGGACGCCAGUCUGCGUGGAGCCGACCUUGAAAUACCACCCUUUAAUGUUUGAUGUUCUAACGUGGACCCGUUACCCGGGUUGCGGACAGUGUCUGGUGGGUAGUUUGACUGGGGCGGUCUCCUCCUAAAGAGUAACGGAGGAGCACGAAGGUUGGCUAAUCCUGGUCGGACAUCAGGAGGUUAGUGCAAUGGCAUAAGCCAGCUUGACUGCGAGCGUGACGGCGCGAGCAGGUGCGAAAGCAGGUCAUAGUGAUCCGGUGGUUCUGAAUGGAAGGGCCAUCGCUCAACGGAUAAAAGGUACUCCGGGGAUAACAGGCUGAUACCGCCCAAGAGUUCAUAUCGACGGCGGUGUUUGGCACCUCGAUGUCGGCUCAUCACAUCCUGGGGCUGAAGUAGGUCCCAAGGGUAUGGCUGUUCGCCAUUUAAAGUGGUACGCGAGCUGGGUUUAGAACGUCGUGAGACAGUUCGGUCCCUAUCUGCCGUGGGCGCUGGAGAACUGAGGGGGGCUGCUCCUAGUACGAGAGGACCGGAGUGGACGCAUCACUGGUGUUCGGGUUGUCAUGCCAAUGGCACUGCCCGGUAGCUAAAUGCGGAAGAGAUAAGUGCUGAAAGCAUCUAAGCACGAAACUUGCCCCGA
This 1524-nucleotide ribosomal RNA is filed under the name Salmonella enterica subsp. enterica serovar Oslo. RNAcentral's name for it is "partial 23S ribosomal RNA". It matches the Rfam family "Bacterial large subunit ribosomal RNA", at positions 1295 to 2802 of the family's 2925-position model. Lineage: Bacteria; Pseudomonadati; Pseudomonadota; Gammaproteobacteria; Enterobacterales; Enterobacteriaceae. The record is from RNAcentral.